This is a long non-coding RNA of Triticum aestivum (bread wheat), 1478 nucleotides long. RefSeq lists it as uncharacterized. The transcript is spliced from 4 exons. The record is from RefSeq and is a predicted model, not a curated record. NCBI's taxonomy places the organism in Eukaryota, Viridiplantae, Streptophyta, Magnoliopsida, Poales, Poaceae.
GGAACGGCGUCGUUGAAUGAGGCGAGUGGAAAAAACGUGAGCCCAAAAUUGAAACCCAUUAUUUGCACUUCCCGAUGGAGAAGCCAAUGCCAUGGCGUCGGGCGGAUGUGGAUUGGAAUUCCUCUUGAUACGGUUUCCACUGCCAGAGAUUGGAGGCAGAGAGCACACCGCAACAGUUUAGGGUAAGGAGAUCACACCGUCGGUGCAGCCGCUCGCCGAUCCGUUUUACGCAUCGUCUGAGUCCAGCAUUCGUGAGGUGGGGCAGGAGCUGCUGGCACUGUGAAUGAAGCUGAACGCCCUUCGAUCAGCUUGUCGGCAGCGGAUUCCGGGCAGUCAACGGGCAGGGACGACCCUCAGGAACCAGCCUGUACAAAGAGGGUUCGUGCCUGUCUUUGAAGGCAUGUUUCUCAGUGUUGAGGCCUCGAUUGUCGUUCAUGCAUAAACAGGCGUAUACAUAGAGUCCUGGUAUUUGGUGUUAUGACCACAUGUUGUGCAUAUCUACUUGGCGAUUUGGAUGAUUUUCAUGGGUUUGUUGUGCGUCUCUGUUAUCUCCUCAAGUUUAUCAAGUUGGUAUGGUUAGAGGGUUAGCAGGUGUACCGUCCACAUUGUCAGGCCAAUACCACGGGUACAGGAUGGGGGCACCGGGGCUUGUGCGGCAGUCCAUGUUGGGCUAGCCGGUAACCAAUCCAGGAGUGCAAGCCAAAGGAAGAUUUUGCUGUAACUUAGUUGGACGAAAGAGGAGUGUACGUGCUUGUGUUCUUGACUGGAAUCGAGUAGUGUGUUGUUCUCUUCUGUACUGCUGCAAUGACGAAAACGACAAUUUUGUGAUGGAUUGCAGAGUUCGUGUUUGGUUCGGCAAAAGCAGACUGGAUGUUGAGCGGAAAAAAUGCAUGCAGGAAAUCAUAUGCGGAUGCUCGGAUAAGGCGAAGAAUACAACCACCAGAUCAUGCAGGUCUGAAUGUCACGCCAGGAUACAGCUGCAGCAUUCAGACCACUAUGGCCAGUACAUUAGUGAACACAUACCGGGCCAUAAUCACACUUACCGACAAGUGUUGCGAGAAGAUGCACAUUGAUGUGUAUGCAUAGAACAUCAUAUGGCAGUUGUGCGACAACAAUGUGAGUAUUGGAAAGGUGCACCAAUAUAAUGGACUCAUAGGGCUAUGUGGCGGUGUGGCCAGAUAAGUCGUGGCCAAGCAGUCAGCACGAUGUCGUCAGGAAAAUAAUAUAGGUUUUUGCCGAACUUGGGGCAAAAGACCAAGGGUUGUAUUACAUGGUCCAACUAGAGUCGGAGAGCCGGAUCAGGAACCUGAUAUAUCUACAUAAUUGAGCUGAAUGCAGUACAACUUUUUCGGGGAUGCAAUAACAGUUGACACAAGAUACCAAACAAACUUUUAUGACAUGUUGUUCAGAUAGUUUGUCUGUAUGAUUUCAAAGCACAAUAUGUCCCGGCAUGGGUGAGAUUCCAAAGAAUCCAAGAA